RNAcentral lists this ribosomal RNA (2483 nucleotides) under Plantibacter sp. CFBP 8775. RNAcentral describes it as "partial 23S ribosomal RNA". It matches the Rfam family "Bacterial large subunit ribosomal RNA", at positions 590 to 2925 of the family's 2925-position model. The record is from RNAcentral. Lineage: Bacteria; Bacillati; Actinomycetota; Actinomycetes; Micrococcales; Microbacteriaceae.
GGUGUGACAGCGUGCCUUUUGAAGAAUGAGCCUGCGAGUUAGCGAUAUGUGGCGAGGUUAACCCGUGUGGGGUAGCCGUAGCGAAAGCGAGUCUGAAUAGGGCGAUUCAGUCGCAUGUCCUAGACCCGAAGCGAAGUGAUCUAUCCAUGGCCAGGUUGAAGCGACGGUAAGACGUCGUGGAGGACCGAACCCACUUAGGUUGAAAACUGAGGGGAUGAGCUGUGGAUAGGGGUGAAAGGCCAAUCAAACUUCGUGAUAGCUGGUUCUCUCCGAAAUGCAUUUAGGUGCAGCGUUGCGUGUUUCUUGCCGGAGGUAGAGCUACUGGAUGGCCGAUGGGGCCCAAAAGCUUACUGACGUCAGCCAAACUCCGAAUGCCGGUAAGUGAGAGCGCAGCAGUGAGACGGUGGGGGAUAAGCUUCAUCGUCGAGAGGGAAACAACCCAGACCACCAACUAAGGUCCCAAAGCGCGUGCUAAGUGGGAAAGGAUGUGGAGUUGCACAGACAACCAGGAGGUUGGCUUAGAAGCAGCCACCCUUGAAAGAGUGCGUAAUAGCUCACUGGUCAAGUGAUUCCGCGCCGACAAUGUAACGGGGCUCAAGCACGCCACCGAAGUUGUGGCAUUGAUAUUUUUGGUAGGCCUUCGUGGUCCAGCCGUAUUGAUGGGUAGGAGAGCGUCGUGUGGCGAGUGAAGCGGCGGUGUAAACCAGCCGUGGACGCUACACGAGUGAGAAUGCAGGCAUGAGUAGCGAAAGACAUGUGAGAAACAUGUCCUCCGAAAGACCAAGGGUUCCAGGGUCAAGCUAAUCUUCCCUGGGUAAGUCGGGACCUAAGGCGAGGCCGACAGGCGUAGUCGAUGGACAACGGGUUGAUAUUCCCGUACCCGCGAAGAACCGCCCAAGACAAUCCAGUGGUGCUAAGAGUCCUAACCCGGACGACUGAUUCCCUUCGGGGAUGAUGGGUCCGGUCUAACGCUCGACCCCAUGCUGGUGCGUUUAGCGUAUUAACAGGUGUGACGCAGGAAGGUAGCCUAUGCCGGGCGAUGGUUGUCCCGGUGUAAGUGCGUAGGCUGAGAGAUAGGCAAAUCCGUCUCUCGUGAAGGCUGAGACACGAUACGGACCCGUAAGGGAUAGUAGGUGAUCCUAUGCUGCCAAGAAAAGCAUCGACGCGAGGUUCUAGUGGCCCGUACCCCAAACCGACUCAGGUGGUCAGGUAGAGAAUACUAAGGAGAUCGAGAGAAUCGUGGUUAAGGAACUCGGCAAAAUGCCCCCGUAACUUCGGGAGAAGGGGGGCCUGAGGCGUAUUAGGACUUGCUCCGAAAGCGUUUGAAGGCCGCAGAGACCAGUGGGAAGCGACUGUUUACUAAAAACACAGGUCCGUGCCAAGUCGCAAGACGAUGUAUACGGACUGACGCCUGCCCGGUGCUGGAAGGUUAAGAGGAACGGUUAGCCGCAAGGCGAAGCUGAGAAUUUAAGCCCCAGUAAACGGCGGUGGUAACUAUAACCAUCCUAAGGUAGCGAAAUUCCUUGUCGGGUAAGUUCCGACCUGCACGAAUGGCGUAACGACUUCCCAGCUGUCUCAACCGCGAACUCGGCGAAAUUGCAUUACGAGUAAAGAUGCUCGUUACGCGCAGCAGGACGGAAAGACCCCGUGACCUUUACUACAGCUUGGUAUUGGUGUUCGGUGUGGCUUGUGUAGGAUAGGUGGGAGACUGUGAAGCUUGGACGCUAGUUCAGGUGGAGUCAUUGUUGAAAUACCACUCUGGUCACUCUGGAUAUCUAACUUCGAACCGUAAUCCGGUUCAGGGACAGUGCCUGGUGGGUAGUUUAACUGGGGCGGUUGCCUCCCAAAAAGUAACGGAGGCGCCCAAAGGUUCCCUCAACCUGGUUGGCAAUCAGGUGUCGAGUGUAAGUGCACAAGGGAGCUUGACUGUGAGACUGACAAGUCGAGCAGGGACGAAAGUCGGGACUAGUGAUCCGGCAGUGGCUUGUGGAAGCGCUGUCGCUCAACGGAUAAAAGGUACCUCGGGGAUAACAGGCUGAUCUUGCCCAAGAGUCCAUAUCGACGGCAUGGUUUGGCACCUCGAUGUCGGCUCGUCGCAUCCUGGGGCUGGAGUAGGUCCCAAGGGUUGGGCUGUUCGCCCAUUAAAGCGGUACGCGAGCUGGGUUUAGAACGUCGUGAGACAGUUCGGUCCCUAUCCGCUGCGCGCGCAGGAAAUUUGAAAGGAUCUGACCCUAGUACGAGAGGACCGGGUUGGACGAACCUCUGGUGUGUCAGUUGUUCCGCCAGGAGCACCGCUGAUUAGCUACGUUCGGGAUGGAUAACCGCUGAAAGCAUCUAAGCGGGAAGCCGGCCUUAAGAUGAGAUUUCCAUGCCUUCGGGCGAGAGGCUCCCAGCCAGACUACUGGGUUGAUAGGCCGGAUGUGGAAGAGAGGACGAAAGACUCUCGGAGCUGACCGGUACUAAUAAGCCGAUAAUUUGAUAAC